Molecule: long non-coding RNA, 1245 nt
Filed under: Anas platyrhynchos platyrhynchos (common mallard)
Lineage: Eukaryota; Metazoa; Chordata; Aves; Anseriformes; Anatidae
Description: lncRNA (ENSAPLG00000026045.1)
Source: RNAcentral
CGGUGUCGGGUGGUCGCUGGGCUCCGGGCCCGGCACCUGCCGGCCCCGGUAUGCGCGGCCCGGCCCCGGUGCACGGCCUGCGGGGGCACGGGGCACGCUUGCACACCCCCCCCGGUUGCACGCUGCACAGUGCACGGUUGCACACCAAAUAUUUGCACGCUGCAUGGUUGCACGGUGCACACCCCGUGGGUGCACGCUGCACGGUUGCACACCACACGGUUGCACGGUGCAUGGGUGCACGGUGCAAAGUGCACGUUUGCACACUACAUGGUUGCACACCCCAUGGUUGCACAGUGCACGUUGCACAGAUGCACACCACACAGUUGCACAGUGCACAUUGCACGGUUGCACACCACACAGUUGCACAGUGCAUGGUUGCACACCACACAAUUGCAUGGUGCAUGGGUGCACGGUACACAUUUGCACGCUACAUGGUUGCACACCCCAUGGUUGCACAGUGCACAUUGCACGGUUGCACACCACAUGGUUGCAAACCCCAUGGUUGCACACCCCAUGGUUGCACGGUGCACAGUGCACAGUUGCACACCACGCGGUUGCAUGGUGCACAAUCACACAGUCCAUGGUUGCAUGGUGCACAUUUGCACACUACACGACUCCCAGUGCAUGGCUGCUCAGCACACAGUCACACCACGCACAUUGCACAGUCGCACACCACACAGUCACACUGUGCACGGUUGUGUGGUGCACAGUGCACGUUUGCACACCACAUGGUUGCACACUACACGGUUGCACGGUGCACAGUUGCUCAGCAUACAGCUGCAGGGUGCACGAUGCAUGGUUGCACACCGCAUGGCUGCACGGUGCACGCUCACACAGGGCAUGCUGCACGCUUGCACGCUGCAUGGGGCAGGUUGCACGCUGCAUGGAGCACAGGACGGGUUGCACGUUGCACACUGCUUCUUGCACACCAGCACCGUGCACCCCUGGGGGGCACCCAGCACCCCACGGGCUGCAGCGGGUGGCCCUGGGUGGGUGCUGCGGGCGCUGGGUGACCUUGAUGGGUGACAGACACCACGGCUCCAGUUAUGCUCCCACAGGGCCUGUACUGGGAGCACUGGGAGCACUGGGAGCCAAGCAGGGAGGGAGCAAACCCCAGGCUCAGGCAGCGUGGGCAAAGGGCGACAGGGGACAAAGGGACACUGGGGGGGGGGGGGACAUAUUGGAGUGUCCCCACGGGGGACACCGGCCCCACGCCGGGGGGGGGCGCCCGGGGGGGGCGCCCCC